UGGGGAAUAUUGCACAAUGGGGGAAACCCUGAUGCAGCGACGCCGCGUGAGCGAUGAAGGCUUUCGAGUCGUAAAGCUCUGUCCUAUGGGAAGCUAAUGACGGUACCAUAGAAGAAAGCCCCGGCUAAUUACGUGCCAGCAGCCGCGGUAAUACGUAAGGGGCGAGCGUUGUCCGGAAUUAUUGGGCGUAAAGAGUGCGUAGGCGGCAAAUUAAGUCAGAUGUGAAAACUAAGGGCUCAACCCAUAGAUGGCAUCUGAAACUGAUAUGCUUGUGUCAAGGAGAGGAAAGUGGACUUCCUAGUGUAGCGGUGGAAUGCGUAGGUAUUAGGAGAAAUACCGGUGGCGAAGGCGACUUUGUGGACUUGAACUGACGCUGAGGCACGAAAGCGUGAGGAGCAAACAGG
This 404-nucleotide ribosomal RNA is filed under the name Verrucomicrobiota bacterium. RNAcentral describes it as "Verrucomicrobia bacterium partial 16S ribosomal RNA". It matches the Rfam family "Bacterial small subunit ribosomal RNA", at positions 355 to 776 of the family's 1533-position model. The record is from RNAcentral. Lineage: Bacteria; Pseudomonadati; Verrucomicrobiota.